This 511-nucleotide ribosomal RNA is filed under the name uncultured Nitrospira sp. RNAcentral's name for it is "bacterial SSU rRNA". It matches the Rfam family "Bacterial small subunit ribosomal RNA", at positions 9 to 519 of the family's 1533-position model. Lineage: Bacteria; Pseudomonadati; Nitrospirota; Nitrospiria; Nitrospirales; Nitrospiraceae. The record is from RNAcentral.
GAGUUUGAUCGUGGCUCAGAAUGAACGUUGGCGGCGUGCCUAACACAUGCAAGUCGAGCGAGAAAGUUCCUUCGGGAAUGAGUACAGCGGCGGACGGGUGAGUAACACGUAAGAAUCUGCCCUAUAGUGAGGAAUACCCUCGAGAAAUUGAGGUUAAUACUGCAUAAGUCCCUUCGGGGAGAAAAGCGUCUUUUAUGUCGCUGCUAUAGGAUGAGCUUGCGGACUAUCAGCUUGUUGGUGAGGUAAAGGCUCACCAAGGCUAUGACGGUUAACCGGCCUGAGAGGGUGUACGGUCACAUAGGCACUGAGAUACGGGCCUGACUCCUACGGGAGGCAGCAGUGGGGAAUAUUGCGCAAUGGGCGAAAGCCUGACGCAGCGACGCCGCGUGGAGGAUGAAGGUCUUCGGAUUGUAAACUCCUGUCAGAUGGAAGAAAAUACCACAUUUAAUAGAUGCGGGGAAUGACGGUACCAUCAGAGGAAGCACCGGCUAACUUCGUGCCAGCCGCCGCC